This 889-nucleotide ribosomal RNA is filed under the name uncultured bacterium. RNAcentral describes it as "bacterial SSU rRNA". It matches the Rfam family "Bacterial small subunit ribosomal RNA", at positions 8 to 916 of the family's 1533-position model. The record is from RNAcentral.
AGAGUUUGAUCAUGGCUCAGGAUGAACGCUGGCGGCGUGCUUAAUACAUGCAAGUCAACGGAGUAUGUAGCAAUACGUACUUAGUGGCGAACGGGUGAGUAACGCGUUGGUGACCUGCCUCGAAGAGAGGGAUAACAGUCCGAAAGGACUGCUAAUACCUCAUGUGAUCAAGGAGUUUAGAAGUCUUUGAUUAAAGGAAUAAUUCACUUCGAGAGGGACCUGCGUACCAUCAGCUAGUUGGUGAGGUAACGGCCCACCAAGGCGAUAACGGUUAGGGGACCUGAGAGGGUGGCCCCCCACAAUGGAACUGAAACACGGUCCAUACACCUACGGGUGGCAGCAGUAGGGAAUAUUAGUUAAUGUGCGAAAGCGCGAACUAGCAACGCCGCGUGUGCGAUGAAGGCCUUCGGGUUGUAAAGCACUUUUCCAAGGGACGAGGAAGGACGGUACCUUGGGAAUAAGCAUCGGCUAACUACGUGCCAGCAGCCGCGGUAAAACGUAGGAUGCAAGCGUUAUCCGGAUUUACUGGGCGUAAAGCGCGUGUAGGCGGUUCGGUAAGUUGGAUGUGAAAGCUCCUGGCUUAACUGGGAGAGGUCGUUCAAUACUGCCGAGCUAGAGGAUGGUAGAGGGAGGUGGAAUUCCGAGUGUAGUGGUGAAAUGCGUAGAUAUUCGGAGGAACACCAGUGGCGAAAGCGGCCUCCUGGACCAUUUCUGACGCUCAGACGCGAAAGCUAGGGUAGCAAACGGGAUUAGAGACCCCGGUAGUCCUAGCCGUAAACGAUGUAGACUUGGCGUCGGCGGGUUUAAAUCCGUCGGUGUCGAAGCUAACGCGAUAAGUCUACCGCCUGGGGAGUACGACCGCAAGGUUAAAACUCAAAUGAAUUGACGG